AUGCCUACUGACUCUAUUGAACGUAUUUACAAUAAGAAGACUGACCAAUUAACUAAAAUUAGCUCUAAUACCCUGAAGAUCAUCCCAAGUGCCCAAAAUGGGUGCGCGAACACACUGGACAUGCAGGAGCCAAAGCUACGUACAGGAUUUUUAUCUCAAAACAAAGAAAAGGCAAUGAGUACAACUGAAGAAAUCCAAAGGGUACAAGUAGAUUGCUGGCUACUUGGGAAGAUGUGGUGGGAAAACACUUUCUUACAAACUAACAAGGUUCUCAUGCUCACAAGGAAGGCACGAGAGAAAAAGAAGGUGAAAGUUGCUUUUGUGGUUCAGAGGACCGAGGAACAAAUAACAGCAUAAACUCAGAGGCAUAUGAUGGCCAAAUGUUUAUUUGUGAUGCAGAGACCCUGGGAUCCCAAUGCUCAUUAUUCAUCUUCUACAGUGAAGUCACAACAUCUACAUAUUUUUCACAUGGGAAAACCUGAUACUGCAUUCUCAUUAGUAAGGUUUGAACCUUCUACCUCCUUCAGACCUCAUUUCAGCAAAACUGUCUAUAAUAUGCAUGAUAUAAAGUAAUAAAUCCUGACAUUGCAAACCAUAAUAUUAUAGAAUUUGCCGUCUUCCUAGAUAUUUGAUGAUUAUCUUAAAGGUAGACUGAUAUGGAUAUUCAGGAAGCCAUACGGACUUACCCUAUUUUAUUAUUUAUACUAGCUCAGAGUUAUUUCUCUGUACUCAGACAUAAGAAUUACUACAUAAGGUUGGUUAUAUAAGAUAUGUGCUCG
This 779-nucleotide long non-coding RNA is filed under the name Callithrix jacchus (white-tufted-ear marmoset). RNAcentral's name for it is "lncRNA (ENSCJAG00000054526.2)". The record is from RNAcentral. Lineage: Eukaryota; Metazoa; Chordata; Mammalia; Primates; Cebidae.